AAGUCGUAACAAGGUCUCCGUAGGUGAACCUGCGGAGGGAUCAUUAACACGUAUCCAAACGUUCUAUAAACCCCCAACGUGCUCCUAUUCUCCCACGAGAACGGCGUACUGUUAGCCAUAGGUGAGGUUUCUCUUUCUUCGGAGAGAGAGAUUGCUAACAGUCUAUUUAUUGCUCAAAAGGGCUACCGACACAUCGUGGUGUACCAAAGUCACCUUGGCUAUUAGGCCACCUCAGCAUGCUGAUCUCAUUUAUGGGAUUGGCUAACCUGAAGCCUAGUAUGCCUUAUUGAUCCCCAUUUUUAACCCCUUUUUAUAUAACUACUGAACUACUUUAAUUGGACUUCGGUCUAGUUAAGUAUUACGAAACGCGAACAACUCUUAGCAACGGAUAUCUUGGUUCUC
RNAcentral lists this unclassified non-coding RNA (402 nucleotides) under fungal sp. RNAcentral's name for it is "partial internal transcribed spacer region". The stretch from base 1 to 46 matches the Rfam family "Eukaryotic small subunit ribosomal RNA", at positions 1786 to 1831 of the family's 1831-position model. Lineage: Eukaryota; Fungi. The record is from RNAcentral.